Molecule: long non-coding RNA, 1302 nt
Filed under: Cottoperca gobio
Lineage: Eukaryota; Metazoa; Chordata; Actinopteri; Perciformes; Bovichtidae
Description: lncRNA (ENSCGOG00000014824.1)
Source: RNAcentral
ACACAACAACAGAGACACAACAACAGAGACACAACAGCAGAGAGACAACAGCAGAGACACAACAACAGAGACACAACAACAGAGACAGCAGAGACACAACAACAGAGACACAACAGCAGAGACACAACAGCAGAGACACAACAGCAGAGACACAACAGCAGAGACACAACAGAGACACAACAACAUAGACACAACAGCAGAGACACAACAACAGAGACACAACAGCAGAGACACAACAGCAGAGACACAACAGAGACACAACAACAUGGACAACAACUCCAGAGACACAACAACAGAGACACAACAGCAGAGAGACAACAGCAGAGAGACAACAGCAGAGACACAACAACAGAGACACAACAACAUAGACACAACAACAGAGACACAACAGCAGAGAGACAACAGAGACACAACAGAGACACAACAGAGACACAACAACAUAGACACAACAACAGAGACACAACAGCAGAGACACAACAACAGAGACACAACAGCAGAGACACAACAGCAGAGACACAACAGCAGAGACACAACAGCAGAGACACAACAGAGACACAACAACAUAGACACAACAGCAGAGACACAACAACAGAGACACAACAGCAGAGACACAACAGCAGAGACACAACAGAGAGACAACAGCAGAGACACAACAGAGAGACAACAGAGACACAACAGCAGAGACACAACAGAGAGACAACAGCAGAGACACAGAGAGACAACAGAGACACAACAGAGAGACAACAGAGACACAACAGCAAAGACACAACAGAGAGACAACAGCAGAGACAACAGAGAGACAACAGAGACACAACAGAGAGACAACAGAGACACAACAGCAGAGACACAACAGAGAGACAACAGAGACACAACAGCAGAGACACAACAGAGAGACAACAGAGACACAACAACAUAGACACAACAACAGAGACACAACAGCAGAGACACAACAGAGACACAACAGCAGAGACACAACAGAGACACAACAACAGAGACACAACAGCAGAGACACAACAGAGACACAACAGAGACACAACAAAGACACAGCAGAGACACAGCAGAGAGACACAACAGAGACACAGCAGAGACACAGCAGAGACACAGCAGAGACACAACAGAGACACAACAGAGAGACAGCAGAGAGACAACAGCAGAGACACAGCAGAGAAACAGCAGAGAGACACAACAGAGACACAGCAGAGACACAGCAGAGAGACAGCAGAGAGACAACAGCAGAGACACAACAGAGACACAACAGAGAGACAGCAGAGAGACAACAGCAGAGACACAGCAGAGACAUAA